Molecule: ribosomal RNA, 440 nt
Filed under: uncultured bacterium
Lineage: Bacteria
Description: partial 16S ribosomal RNA
Rfam family: Bacterial small subunit ribosomal RNA
Source: RNAcentral
CCUACGGGUGGCAGCAGUAGGGAAUAUUGCUCAAUGGGGGAAACCCUGAAGCAGCAACGCCGCGUGAAGGAUGAAGGUUUUCGGGUUGUAAACCCCUUUUGGUAGAGAAGAUAAUGACGGUAUCUAACGAAUAAGCACCGGCUAACUCCGUGCCAGCAACCGCGGUAAUACGGAGGGUGCAAGCGUUACUCGGAAUAACUGGGGGUAAAGAGCGCGUAGGCGGGAUUGCAAGUCCGAUGUGAAAGCCUAUGGCUUAACCAUCGAACUGCAUUUGAAACUGUUAUUCUGGAGUAUGGGAGAGGUAGGUGGAAUUCUUGGUGUAGCGGUAAAAUCCGUAGAGAUCAAGAGGAAUACUCAUUGCGAAGGCGACCUGCUGGAACAUAACUGACGCUGAUGCGCGAAAGCGUGGGGAGCAAACAGGAUUAGAUACCCCAGUAGUC